RNAcentral lists this ribosomal RNA (1007 nucleotides) under Paraburkholderia sediminicola. RNAcentral describes it as "bacterial SSU rRNA". It matches the Rfam family "Bacterial small subunit ribosomal RNA", at positions 60 to 1061 of the family's 1533-position model. Lineage: Bacteria; Pseudomonadati; Pseudomonadota; Betaproteobacteria; Burkholderiales; Burkholderiaceae. The record is from RNAcentral.
AGUCGAACGGCAGCACGGGGGCAACCCUGGUGGCGAGUGGCGAACGGGUGAGUAAUACAUCGGAACGUGUCCUGUAGUGGGGGAUAGCCCGGCGAAAGCCGGAUUAAUACCGCAUACGCUCUACGGAGGAAAGGGGGGGAUCUUAGGACCUCCCGCUACAGGGGCGGCCGAUGGCAGAUUAGCUAGUUGGUGGGGUAAAGGCCUACCAAGGCGACGAUCUGUAGCUGGUCUGAGAGGACGACCAGCCACACUGGGACUGAGACACGGCCCAGACUCCUACGGGAGGCAGCAGUGGGGAAUUUUGGACAAUGGGCGCAAGCCUGAUCCAGCAAUGCCGCGUGUGUGAAGAAGGCCUUCGGGUUGUAAAGCACUUUUGUCCGGAAAGAAAACCUCCGCCCUAAUAUGGUGGGGGGAUGACGGUACCGGAAGAAUAAGCACCGGCUAACUACGUGCCAGCAGCCGCGGUAAUACGUAGGGUGCAAGCGUUAAUCGGAAUUACUGGGCGUAAAGCGUGCGCAGGCGGUCCGCUAAGACAGAUGUGAAAUCCCCGGGCUUAACCUGGGAACUGCAUUUGUGACUGGCGGGCUAGAGUAUGGCAGAGGGGGGUAGAAUUCCACGUGUAGCAGUGAAAUGCGUAGAGAUGUGGAGGAAUACCGAUGGCGAAGGCAGCCCCCUGGGCCAAUACUGACGCUCAUGCACGAAAGCGUGGGGAGCAAACAGGAUUAGAUACCCUGGUAGUCCACGCCCUAAACGAUGUCAACUAGUUGUCGGGUCUUCAUUGACUUGGUAACGUAGCUAACGCGUGAAGUUGACCGCCUGGGGAGUACGGUCGCAAGAUUAAAACUCAAAGGAAUUGACGGGGACCCGCACAAGCGGUGGAUGAUGUGGAUUAAUUCGAUGCAACGCGAAAAACCUUACCUACCCUUGACAUGUAUGGAAUUCUGCCGAGAGGUGGGAGUGCCCGAAAGGGAGCCAUAACACAGGUGCUGCAUGGCUGUCGUCAGCUC